UAGGGGAUUCUUAGAAGAACAUGUUCAUCUUAUUCUAAUUGCUCGACGUCUGGUUGCAUGACAAUAUUAUAUUUUACAUGUAGAAGUGUCAAAACGAUAGGCGAAAGAUACCAAAGGGACAUUUAUACUCACAAGUCGAAAAUAAACUAACAACAUAAUUGCUAAAAAGAAAAAAGAAAACAGCAGACACAAAAUAGUUCAUACUUGGAAAAAGGGGGUUAGAUUGUAGUUACGACAAUAGAAACAUACACUUUCUAUUGGAUAGAUGCGUUCAACAUGUUUAUCAACAAAUUUUGAAUUAUUUAGUAAGAGAAUAUUAUCUAUAUAGCGGAAAGUAAAGUAAAAUGAUAUUGCUAACUUUUGUGCUUUCUUUCUUUCUUUCGUAAGCUUCCGUAAGAAUCAACCUCGUGUGAAUAUAGGAACUGAUAGUAAAAAAGAGUGGCACAGUUGAUGCUCAUGUGAUUGCCGUUUGCUUGUUGAAAAAACAUAUUCCCAACGUUAAAUAUGUUGUUAAUAAAGAAAUCAGGCAUCUAUAUAAUAUUUGUUUCAAAGAAUUUAUUGUUUGAGGCAGUGUAAUUUGUUUACAAAGGAACAUUUAUCCCACCCUAAGACAGGAUACUUGUAUCUACGUUGGUCACUCUUUUUAAGAAACAAAGCAGAACCACCAACUCUUUCAAUUUGUCUCUUUGUUUGGAACGGGGA
This 702-nucleotide long non-coding RNA is filed under the name Mytilus galloprovincialis (Mediterranean mussel). Lineage: Eukaryota; Metazoa; Mollusca; Bivalvia; Mytilida; Mytilidae. The record is from RNAcentral.